This 742-nucleotide ribosomal RNA is filed under the name Arenibacter sp. SRO_366. RNAcentral's name for it is "bacterial SSU rRNA". It matches the Rfam family "Bacterial small subunit ribosomal RNA", at positions 153 to 898 of the family's 1533-position model. The record is from RNAcentral. Lineage: Bacteria; Pseudomonadati; Bacteroidota; Flavobacteriia; Flavobacteriales; Flavobacteriaceae.
UAAAUUUGGAUUAAUGCCCCAUGGUAUGUAAUUGUGGCAUCACUAUUACAUUAAAGGUUACGGUACAAGAUGACUAUGCGUCCCAUUAGUUAGUUGGUAAGGUAACGGCUUACCAAGGCAGCGAUGGGUAGGGGCCCUGAGAGGGGGAUCCCCCACACUGGUACUGAGACACGGACCAGACUCCUACGGGAGGCAGCAGUGAGGAAUAUUGGACAAUGGGCGGGAGCCUGAUCCAGCCAUGCCGCGUGCAGGAAGACGGUCCUAUGGAUUGUAAACUGCUUUUGUACGGGAAGAAUAAGGGCUACGUGUAGCCUGUUGACGGUACCGUAAGAAUAAGGAUCGGCUAACUCCGUGCCAGCAGCCGCGGUAAUACGGAGGAUCCGAGCGUUAUCCGGAAUCAUUGGGUUUAAAGGGUCCGUAGGCGGGCCAUUAAGUCAGGGGUGAAAGUCUGCGGCUCAACCGUAGAAUUGCCCUUGAUACUGGUGGUCUUGAGUUAUGGUGAAGUGGCCGGAAUAUGUAGUGUAGCGGUGAAAUGCAUAGAUAUUACAUAGAACACCGAUUGCGAAGGCAGGUCACUAACCAUAUACUGACGCUGAUGGACGAAAGCGUGGGGAGCGAACAGGAUUAGAUACCCUGGUAGUCCACGCCGUAAACGAUGGAUACUAGCUGUCCGGGCGCAAGCCUGGGCGGCCAAGCGAAAGUGAUAAGUAUCCCACCUGGGGAGUACGUCCGCAAGGAUGAA